RNAcentral lists this ribosomal RNA (980 nucleotides) under Salmonella enterica subsp. enterica serovar Heidelberg. RNAcentral describes it as "bacterial SSU rRNA". It matches the Rfam family "Bacterial small subunit ribosomal RNA", at positions 1 to 970 of the family's 1533-position model. RNAcentral also lists the same sequence under 14 other names. Lineage: Bacteria; Pseudomonadati; Pseudomonadota; Gammaproteobacteria; Enterobacterales; Enterobacteriaceae. The record is from RNAcentral.
AAAUUGAAGAGUUUGAUCAUGGCUCAGAUUGAACGCUGGCGGCAGGCCUAACACAUGCAAGUCGAACGGUAACAGGAAGCAGCUUGCUGCUUUGCUGACGAGUGGCGGACGGGUGAGUAAUGUCUGGGAAACUGCCUGAUGGAGGGGGAUAACUACUGGAAACGGUGGCUAAUACCGCAUAACGUCGCAAGACCAAAGAGGGGGACCUUCGGGCCUCUUGCCAUCAGAUGUGCCCAGAUGGGAUUAGCUUGUUGGUGAGGUAACGGCUCACCAAGGCGACGAUCCCUAGCUGGUCUGAGAGGAUGACCAGCCACACUGGAACUGAGACACGGUCCAGACUCCUACGGGAGGCAGCAGUGGGGAAUAUUGCACAAUGGGCGCAAGCCUGAUGCAGCCAUGCCGCGUGUAUGAAGAAGGCCUUCGGGUUGUAAAGUACUUUCAGCGGGGAGGAAGGUGUUGUGGUUAAUAACCACAGCAAUUGACGUUACCCGCAGAAGAAGCACCGGCUAACUCCGUGCCAGCAGCCGCGGUAAUACGGAGGGUGCAAGCGUUAAUCGGAAUUACUGGGCGUAAAGCGCACGCAGGCGGUCUGUCAAGUCGGAUGUGAAAUCCCCGGGCUCAACCUGGGAACUGCAUUCGAAACUGGCAGGCUUGAGUCUUGUAGAGGGGGGUAGAAUUCCAGGUGUAGCGGUGAAAUGCGUAGAGAUCUGGAGGAAUACCGGUGGCGAAGGCGGCCCCCUGGACAAAGACUGACGCUCAGGUGCGAAAGCGUGGGGAGCAAACAGGAUUAGAUACCCUGGUAGUCCACGCCGUAAACGAUGUCUACUUGGAGGUUGUGCCCUUGAGGCGUGGCUUCCGGAGCUAACGCGUUAAGUAGACCGCCUGGGGAGUACGGCCGCAAGGUUAAAACUCAAAUGAAUUGACGGGGGCCCGCACAAGCGGUGGAGCAUGUGGUUUAAUUCGAUGCAACGCGAAGAACC